CCUACGGGAGGCAGCAGUGGGGAAUAUUGGACAAUGGGCGAAAGCCUGAUCCAGCAAUGCCGCGUGAGUGAUGAAGGCCUUCGGGUCGUAAAGCUCUUUUACCAGGGAUGAUAAUGACAGUACCUGGAGAAUAAGCUCCGGCUAACUCCGUGCCAGCAGCCGCGGUAAUACGGAGGGAGCUAGCGUUGUUCGGAAUUACUGGGCGUAAAGAGUACGUAGGCGGUUAUUCAAGUCAGAGGUGAAAGCCCGGGGCUCAACCCCGGAACUGCCUUUGAAACUAGAUAACUAGAGUCUUGGAGAGGUUAGUGGAAUUCCGAGUGUAGAGGCGAAAUUCGUAGAUAUUCGGAAGAACACCAGUGGCGAAGGCGACUAACUGGACAAGUACUGACGCUGAGGUACGAAAGCGUGGGGAGCAAACAGGAUUAGAUACCCUGGUAGUCCACGCCGUAAACGAUGAUAACUAGUUGUUCGGUCACUUGGUGACUGAGUGACGCAGCUAACGCAUUAAGUUAUCCGCCUGGGGAGUACGGUCGCAAGNUUAAAACUUAAAUGAAUUGACGG
Molecule: ribosomal RNA, 561 nt
Filed under: uncultured bacterium
Lineage: Bacteria
Description: bacterial SSU rRNA
Rfam family: Bacterial small subunit ribosomal RNA
Source: RNAcentral